This 292-nucleotide ribosomal RNA is filed under the name uncultured bacterium. Its description in RNAcentral is "partial 16S ribosomal RNA". The record is from RNAcentral.
GGACUACAGGGGUAUCUAAUCCUGUUUGCUCCCCACGCUUUCGCGUCUCAGCGUCAGUCACUGUCCAGAAGGCCGCCUUCGCCACCGGUGUUCCGCUUGAUAUCUACGAAUUUCACCUCUACACCAAGCAUUCCACCUUCCUCUCCAGGACUCUAGCCCUGCAGUUUCGAAUGCACUUCCAUAGUUGAGCCAUGGGAUUUCACAUCCGACUUGCAGGGCCGCCUACACGCGCUUUACGCCCAGUAAUUCCGAACAACGUUUGCACCCUCUGUCUUACCGCGGCUGCUGGCAC